AAAAACAUCGCCUUUAGCCCCACAAGUAUUAAAGGUCCCGCCUGCCCAGUGAAUAUUUUUAACGGCCGCGGUAUCCUAACCGUGCAAAGGUAGNGUAAUCACUUGUCCCCUAAAUAGGGACNUGUAUGAAUGGCUAACUGAGGGCACACCUGUCUCCUGCGGCCAACUAAUGAAACUGAUCUACUGGUACAAAAGCCAGAAUGCCCCCACAAGACGAGAAGACCCUGUGGAGCUUAUAACCCCCUCGCGCUACCAGACCUGCCCCCCACCACGCACACCUGACUAGCGGACGGUUUAAGUUGGGGCGACUACGGAGCACAACAAACCCUCCAAGAAAAAGGGGCUCACCCCCCCACUACAAGGCCCACACGCCAACAAGACACCCCCNCGACCCAGUAUAGCUGACCACCGAACCAAGU
This 419-nucleotide ribosomal RNA is filed under the name Mediodactylus kotschyi (Kotschy's gecko). Its description in RNAcentral is "partial large subunit ribosomal RNA". It matches the Rfam family "Archaeal large subunit ribosomal RNA", at positions 1901 to 2495 of the family's 2987-position model. The record is from RNAcentral. Lineage: Eukaryota; Metazoa; Chordata; Lepidosauria; Squamata; Gekkonidae.